RNAcentral lists this long non-coding RNA (566 nucleotides) under Gossypium raimondii (Peruvian cotton). Its description in RNAcentral is "long non-coding RNA (GRAI_LNC004473)". The record is from RNAcentral. Lineage: Eukaryota; Viridiplantae; Streptophyta; Magnoliopsida; Malvales; Malvaceae.
CAAACCCCUAUAACAAAGGAGUGGUUGAUAACUUCAAGGAGAUAUUUUGCUCCAGUAUUCCAUCAUCCAAGAACAACUUCAGGGAAAAGGUGCCCAGGGAACCUGUGCUACCAACACGACCAGGUGGUUUUAUGAGUCCAAAUAUGGGGAAGGCUGUGGACGACAUAGAAAUGGGUAGGAAGACAGUGUGGGGUGAUAUUGGUGCUGGCACUGAUCAUUGUGAAGGGCAACUCAUAAGUGACCGAGUAAAUGUUAAGGAGGGUGAAUUAGGAGAUUUAUCUCCAGAUAUUAGAAGUACAGUAGAUGACACAGGUGACCGUUCUGGUAUACAUCCCAGGCGGUCUAGUUGGGGUAGAAAAAGUGGUCGAUGGGAAAUGUCACCUGAAGUUCUUGCUUUGGCAGCUAGAGUGGGGGAACCAAACCGAAUCGGUGGAGGUAGCAGUAGCAACAAUUUGAUAACCGAAAGCCGCCCGACAUGACCAAUGUCAUGAUAUUGAAUGUACGAUAUGGAAAAGGGAUUGACUGCUAAGGUUCCGUUUUUCUUGUUUCAAUCAUGUGUAAUAUGG